Molecule: ribosomal RNA, 165 nt
Filed under: uncultured bacterium
Lineage: Bacteria
Description: partial 16S rRNA
Rfam family: Bacterial small subunit ribosomal RNA
Source: RNAcentral
UAGGGAAUCUUCCACAAUGGGCGAAAGCCUGAUGGAGCAACGCCGCGUGUGUGAUGAAGGGUUUCGGCUCGUAAAACACUUGUUGUAAGAGAAGAACGACAUUGAGAGUAACUGUUCAAUGUGUGACGGUAUCUUACCAGAAAGGAACGGCUAAAUACGUGCCAG